GAUGGCCAGCCAGAUGAGCAGGUACACAGUGGUUCCCCAUUUGCUCUUUAUUGUUGGCCUGUCUCCCUUGGGAUGGGCUGUCCAUCAGCCCCCAUACAUGGUGGUCAGUCAGGGACAGCCACUGACACUGAACUGCUCCCAAAAAUCAACCAGUUUCAACUACAUGUACUGGUACAAACAGGCUGUGGGGAAGGAUGCAAGGCUGCAGCUGGUGCUGUUUUCUAUAGAAGACUCUGGUGGAACAGUUGAGAAGCCAUUUGAAAGUCACUUCCAGAGCAGUGGAACAAAAAACUAUGUCCUGUCUCUGUCUGCAGAGAGAGCCCAGUUGCAAGACUCAGGCACAUAUUACUGUGCUAAGCAAGAUCACACAAAUCUCUCCUGCUUUACAAAUUAA
Non-coding RNA from Caretta caretta (loggerhead turtle), 394 nucleotides. Lineage: Eukaryota; Metazoa; Chordata; Testudines; Cheloniidae. The record is from the annotation of a RefSeq genome assembly.